UUCGGAAUCUGCCCAGUAAUGGGGAAUAACUAACCGAAAGGUUAGCUAAUGCCGCAUACGUCCCUUUUCCGUAUUGGGAAUUGGAGAAAGCGGGGGAUCGCAAGACCUCGCGUUAUUGGAUGAGCCGAAGUCGGAUUAGCUAGUUGGUGAGGUAACGGCUCACCAAGGCGACAAUCCGUAGCUGGUCUGAGAGGACGACCAGCCACACUGGGACUGAGACACGGCCCAGACUCCUACGGGAGGCAGCAGUGGGGAAUAUUGGACAAUGGGGGCAACCCUGAUCCAGCGACGCCGCGUGUGUGAAGAAGGCCUGCGGGUUGUAAAGCACUUUUAGUGGGGACAAAAAGCCAUCGGCUAAUACCUGGUGGUCUUGAUUUAACCCAAAGAAAAAGCACCGGCUAACUCUGUGCCAGCAGCCGCGGUAAUACAGAGGGUGCAAGCGUUAAUCGGAAUUACUGGGCGUAAAGCGUGCGCAGACGGUCUCGUAAGUCGGGUGUGAAAUCCCCGGGCUCAACCUGGGAAUUGCAUUCGAAACUGCGAGGCUAGGGUACGGAAGAGGGAAGCGGAAUU
This 570-nucleotide ribosomal RNA is filed under the name uncultured Gammaproteobacteria bacterium. Its description in RNAcentral is "bacterial SSU rRNA". It matches the Rfam family "Bacterial small subunit ribosomal RNA", at positions 117 to 668 of the family's 1533-position model. The record is from RNAcentral. Lineage: Bacteria; Pseudomonadati; Pseudomonadota; Gammaproteobacteria.